This 73-nucleotide transfer RNA is filed under the name Canis lupus familiaris (dog). It matches the Rfam family "tRNA". Rfam says of the family: Transfer RNA (tRNA) molecules are approximately 80 nucleotides in length. Their secondary structure includes four short double-helical elements and three loops (D, anti-codon, and T loops). The record is from Rfam by way of RNAcentral. Lineage: Eukaryota; Metazoa; Chordata; Mammalia; Carnivora; Canidae. RNAcentral also lists the same sequence under 1 other name.
GCCUAGAUGGCUCAGUGAGUAGAGCGCGUGACUCUCGACCUCAGGGUUGUGGGUUCAAGCCCCGUGUUGGGCA